GACGAAGGGUGCAAGCGUUAAUCGGAAUUACUGGGCGUAAAGCGUGCGUAGGCGGUUUUUUAAGUCUGCUGUGAAAUCCCCGGGCUCAACCUGGGAAUGGCAGUGGAAACUGGAGAGCUAGAGUGUGUCAGAGGAUGGUGGAAUUCCCGGUGUAGCGGUGAAAUGCGUAGAGAUCGGGAGGAACAUCAGUGGCGAAGGCGGCCAUCUGGGACAACACUGACGCUGAGGCACGAAAGCGUGGGGAGCAAACAGG
RNAcentral lists this ribosomal RNA (253 nucleotides) under uncultured Dyella sp. RNAcentral describes it as "partial 16S ribosomal RNA". It matches the Rfam family "Bacterial small subunit ribosomal RNA", at positions 524 to 776 of the family's 1533-position model. Lineage: Bacteria; Pseudomonadati; Pseudomonadota; Gammaproteobacteria; Lysobacterales; Rhodanobacteraceae. The record is from RNAcentral.